CAGCCGCCGCGGUAAUACGUAGGGUGCAAGCGUUAAUCGGAAUUACUGGGCGUAAAGCGUGCGCAGGCGGUUUGUUAAGACAGAUGUGAAAUCCCCGGGCUCAACCUGGGAACUGCAUUUGUGACUGGCAGGCUAGAGUAUGGCAGAGGGGGGUGGAAUUCCGCGUGUAGCAGUGAAAUGCGUAGAUAUGCGGAGGAACACCGAUGGCGAAGGCAGCCCCCUGGGCCAAUACUGACGCUCAUGCACGAAAGCGUGGGGAGCAAACAGGAUUAGAUACCCCCGUAGUCCCUGUCUCUUAUAC
Molecule: ribosomal RNA, 301 nt
Filed under: uncultured bacterium
Lineage: Bacteria
Description: partial 16S ribosomal RNA
Rfam family: Bacterial small subunit ribosomal RNA
Source: RNAcentral